AGUGAACGCUGGCGGUAGGCCUAACACAUGCAAGUCGAACGGCAGCACAGGAGAGCUUGCUCUCUAGGUGGCGAGUGGCGGACAGGUGAGGAAUACAUCGGAAUCUGCCCAGUCGUGGGGGAUAACGUAGGGAAACUUACGCUAAUACCGCAUACGACCUUCGGGUGAAAGAGGGGGAUCGCAAGACCUCUCGCGAUUGGAUGAGCCGAUGUCGGAUUAGCUAGUUAGCGGGGUAAUGGCCCACCAAGGCGACGAUCCGUAGCUGGUCUGAGAGGAUGAUCAGCCAUACUGGAACUGAGACACGGUCCAGACUCCUACGGGAGGCAGCAGUGGGGAAUAUUGGACAAUGGGCGCAAGCCUGAUCCAGCCAUACCGCGUGGGUGAAGAAGGCCUUCGGGUUGUAAAGCCCUUUUGUUGGGAAAGAAAUCUUUCAGGCUAAUACCCUGGGAGGAUGACGGUACCCAAAGAAUAAGCACCGGCUAACUUCGUG
This 490-nucleotide ribosomal RNA is filed under the name uncultured bacterium. RNAcentral describes it as "partial 16S ribosomal RNA". It matches the Rfam family "Bacterial small subunit ribosomal RNA", at positions 29 to 507 of the family's 1533-position model. The record is from RNAcentral.